UUGCUAAGACUGGAUAGGAAAUAAAAAGGCAUCUUUUUAUUUUUAAAAGACCUUUUUCGGAAGGUAUGCUUAAAGAGGGGCUUGCGUCACAUUAGUUAGUUGGCAGGGUAAAGGCCUACCAAGACUAUGAUGUGUAGCUGGACUGAGAGGUUGAACAGCCACAUUGGGACUGAGACACGGCCCAAACUCCUACGGGAGGCAGCAGUAGGGAAUUUUCGGCAAUGGAGGAAACUCUGACCGAGCAACGCCGCGUGAACGAUGAAGUAUUUCGGUAUGUAAAGUUCUUUUAUUGAAGAAGAAAAAAUAGUGGAAAAACUAUCUUGACGAUAUUCAAUGAAUAAGCCCCGGCAAACUAUGUGCCAGCAGCCGCGGUAAUACAUAGGGGGCGAGCGUUAUCCGGAAUUAUUGGGCGUAAAGGGUGCGUAGGCGGUUUAAUAAGUCUAUAGUUUAAUUUCAGUGCUUAACACUGUCCUGCUAUAGAAACUAUUAGACUAGAGUGAGAUAGAGGCAAGUGGAAUUCCAUGUGUAGCGGUAAAAUGCGUAAAUAUAUGGAGGAACACCAGAGGCGUAGGCGGCUUGCUGGGUCUUUACUGACGCUGAGGCACGAAAGCGUGGGGAGCAAACAGGAUUAGAUACCCUGGUAGUCCACGCCGUAAACGAUGAGUACUAAGUGUCGGGAUUACUCGGUACUGAAGUUAACACAUUAAGUACUCCGCCUGAGUAGUACGUACGCAAGUAUGAAACUUAAAGGAAUUGACGGGACUCCGCACAAGCGGUGGAUCAUGUUGUUUAAUUCGAAGAUACACGAAAAACCUUACCAGGUCUUGACAUACUCUGCAAAGCUAUAGCAAUAUAGUGGAGGUUAUCAGGGAUACAGGUGGUGCAUGGUUGUCGUCAGCUCGUGUCGUGAGAUGUUAGGUUAAGUCCUAAAACGAGCGCAACCCUUGUCAUUAGUUGCCAGCAUGUCAUGAUGGGCACUUUAAUGAGACUGCCAAUGAAAAAUUGGAGGAAGGUGAGGAUCACGUCAAAUCAUCAUGCCCCUUAUGAUCUGGGCUACAAACGUGAUACAAUGGCUGUUACAAAGAGUAGCUGAAACGCAAGUUUAUAGCCAAUCUCAUAAAAGCAGUCUCAGUUCGGAUUGAAGUCUGCAACUCGACUUCAUGAAGUUGGAAUCGCUAGUAAUCGCGAAUCAGCAUGUCGCGGUGAAUACGUUCU
This 1215-nucleotide ribosomal RNA is filed under the name 'Amorphophallus paeoniifolius' leaf yellows phytoplasma. RNAcentral describes it as "bacterial SSU rRNA". It matches the Rfam family "Bacterial small subunit ribosomal RNA", at positions 160 to 1374 of the family's 1533-position model. Lineage: Bacteria; Bacillati; Mycoplasmatota; Mollicutes; Acholeplasmatales; Acholeplasmataceae. The record is from RNAcentral.